UCGUUUUUGAAAAGGAUCAAAUGGACAAGGAUGGAAGAGGUCCUAGUGACUUUUACAAUACAUGUACCAUCAAGGCAUUGCCACCUAUUCUGUGGCAUCUAAGUCACAUAAUAAA
This 115-nucleotide non-coding RNA is filed under the name Vombatus ursinus (common wombat). Lineage: Eukaryota; Metazoa; Chordata; Mammalia; Diprotodontia; Vombatidae. The record is from RNAcentral.